RNAcentral lists this long non-coding RNA (750 nucleotides) under Gallus gallus (chicken). The record is from RNAcentral. Lineage: Eukaryota; Metazoa; Chordata; Aves; Galliformes; Phasianidae.
UGCAGCUUUAGGGAUCUGGUCCACAUACUGAGGCUUAAUGAUAGCCUUUAGGUCAUCUUCCAGGAUCUUGGUGAAAUAGUUUUGUAAUUCAGAACCUCGGAAAUAAGUCAAAAUUUCUUGCCAGUCAGGUGGAUCAUCAUAUUUUCCAAGAUUUGGCUUCUGCUUUCCUGCUAGAAUUUUCAAGGCAGUUGAUUUUCCAAUACCAUUGGUUCCAACCAAACCCAGGACUUCACCUGGACGAGGGAUAGGCAACCUGUGAAGUUUGAAGGCAUUGGCACAGUAUCUGUGUGUUGUUUCUUUCUCCAGGUUGCUCGGUAAGUUAACAAUUGACAAGGCUCCAAAAGGACAUUUCUUGAUGCAAAUCCCACAACCAAUACAAAGUGUUUCAGAGAUCCAUGCUAUUUUGCUCUGUGAUGUGACCUCUAUGCAAAGUUUUCCCAUUCGAACCACAGGACAACUCUUUUUGCAUUCCUGACGGCAUUUCUUUGGCUUACACUUGUCAUGGUUGACGAUAGCAAUUCUUGUUAAUUUGUCUGCCAUAAUGCACAGUUUAUGGUUACGCUCAUUCACCAAUUAUGAGGGUGAUCUGUCUUCCAGAUCGAGAAACGGGGUCCCGCUUCCGGACCGGGCUCAGAAGCCGCCACGGCUGCCAAGCGCGGUGCGGCACAACGUGCUCCCGCCGCCACCCGGCCAAGAUGGCCGCCUCCCCCGCAGGGCGGGGCCUACGCCGCACACCAUAGAGAGGAGAGG